This 207-nucleotide ribosomal RNA is filed under the name uncultured bacterium. Its description in RNAcentral is "partial 16S ribosomal RNA". It matches the Rfam family "Bacterial small subunit ribosomal RNA", at positions 568 to 774 of the family's 1533-position model. The record is from RNAcentral.
CUCGUAGGCGGCCAACUAAGUCAGACGUGAAAUCCCUCGGCUUAACCGGGGAACUGCGUCUGAUACUGGAUGGCUAGAAGUUGGGAGAGGGAUGCGGAAUUCCAGGUGUAGCGGUGAAAUGCGUAGAUAUCUGGAGGAACACCGGUGGCGAAGGCGGCAUCCUGGACCAAUUCUGACGCUGAGGAGCGAAAGCCAGGGGAGCAAACG